Molecule: ribosomal RNA, 305 nt
Filed under: uncultured bacterium
Lineage: Bacteria
Description: bacterial SSU rRNA
Rfam family: Bacterial small subunit ribosomal RNA
Source: RNAcentral
CCUACGGGACGCAGCAGUGGGGAAUAUUGCACAAUGGGGGAAACCCUGAUGCAGCGACGCCGCGUGAGUGAAGAAGUAUUUCGGUAUGUAAAGCUCUAUCAGCAGGGAAGAAAAUGACGGUACCUGACCAAGAAGCCCCGGCUAACUACGUGCCAGCAGCCGCGGUAAUACGUAGGGGGCAAGCGUUAUCCGGAUUUACUGGGUGUAAAGGGAGCGUAGACGGUUGUGCAAGUCAGAAGUGAAAGCCCGGGGCUCAACUCCGGGACUGCUUUUGAAACUGUGAAACUGGAGUGCAGGAGAGGUAA